Molecule: ribosomal RNA, 505 nt
Filed under: uncultured Lachnospiraceae bacterium
Lineage: Bacteria; Bacillati; Bacillota; Clostridia; Lachnospirales; Lachnospiraceae
Description: bacterial SSU rRNA
Rfam family: Bacterial small subunit ribosomal RNA
Source: RNAcentral
UACCUGGCUCAGGAUGAACGCUGGCGGCGUGCUUAACACAUGCAAGUCGAACGGGGCCACCAUUUUUGAAGCGAUUAGCUUGCUAAGAGUGGAAAUGUUGGCGGCUUAGUGGCGGACGGGUGAGUAACGCGUGGGUAACCUGCCUUGCACUGGGGGAUAACACUUAGAAAUAGGUGCUAAUACCGCAUAAGCGCACGGAGCUGCAUGGCUCAGUGUGAAAAACUCCGGUGGUGCAAGAUGGACCCGCGUCUGAUUAGCUUGUUGGCGGGGUAACGGCCCACCAAGGCGACGAUCAGUAGCCGGCCUGAGAGGGUGGACGGCCACAUUGGGACUGAGACACGGCCCAAACUCCUACGGGAGGCAGCAGUGGGGAAUAUUGGACAAUGGGGGGAACCCUGAUCCAGCGACGCCGCGUGAGUGAAGAAGUAUCUCGGUAUGUAAAGCUCUAUCAGCAGGGAAGAAAGAAAUGACGGCACCUGACCAAGAAGCCCCGGCUAACUACGUG